This 253-nucleotide ribosomal RNA is filed under the name uncultured bacterium. RNAcentral describes it as "partial 16S ribosomal RNA". It matches the Rfam family "Bacterial small subunit ribosomal RNA", at positions 524 to 776 of the family's 1533-position model. The record is from RNAcentral.
UACGUAGGUGGCAAGCGUUGUCCGGAUUUAUUGGGUUUAAAGGGUGCGUAGGCGGACAAGUAAGUCAGGGGUGAAAGACGGCCGCUCAACGGUCGCAGUGCCUUUGAUACUGCAUGUCUUGAGUGCAGACGAGGUCUGUGGAAUGGAUGGUGUAGCGGUGAAAUGCUUAGAUACCAUCCAGAACACCAAUUGCGAAGGCAGCAGACUAGGGUGCAACUGACGCUGAGGCACGAAAGUGCGGGGAUCAAACAGG